Molecule: ribosomal RNA, 253 nt
Filed under: uncultured bacterium
Lineage: Bacteria
Description: partial 16S ribosomal RNA
Rfam family: Bacterial small subunit ribosomal RNA
Source: RNAcentral
UACGUAGGGGGCAAGCGUUAUCCGGAAUUACUGGGUGUAAAGGGAGCGUAGACGGUAAUGUAAGUCCGGAGUGAAAGGCGGGGGCCCAACCCCCGGACUGCUCUGGAAACUAUGUUACUAGAGUGCAGGAGAGGUAAGCGGAAUUCCUAGUGUAGCGGUGAAAUGCGUAGAUAUUAGGAGGAACACCAGUGGCGAAGGCGGCUUACUGGACUGUAACUGACGUUGAGGCUCGAAAGCGUGGGGAGCUAACAGG